This 462-nucleotide long non-coding RNA is filed under the name Nicotiana benthamiana. RNAcentral's name for it is "long non-coding RNA (NBEN_LNC023399)". The record is from RNAcentral. Lineage: Eukaryota; Viridiplantae; Streptophyta; Magnoliopsida; Solanales; Solanaceae.
AAUAACAACACCAAAGGUCUAGAAUUUCACCAAAAAAAUAAAGCUUUAAGCACAUCUAAAGAAAGAAAUAACUGAAAGACGACCAAGGCCGAAAAUAGACAAAAUAGGGAAAAUAAAAAUAGAGAUAGAUAGACAUUGUAACUUCAAAACUUCGAACAUCUUACCCUCACAAUGAAUUUCAAACUUUGAAUCUUUCUCCUUCCUUCUUUGGCUUUAGACGAUCGGCUAUUCCUAUAAAUUUUAAAGUGGGUCAAAGAAAUUUAAGGUAAAAGAGUUACAAUUCACAAUGUGCGUUUAGGGCUUUUGAGUUGUCUCUACCGAGAGGUUCACAUGUUGUGAUUUGAGCGAUUUGAGAGAUUGUGAGAUGUUUGAGCAGAGAAAAUAUUGAGAAUUUUAUGGAAAAGAAACACAGUAAAGAACUACUAUUGGAGCAAAGAAAACUAGCGAAGAGAGCAUUUUAUG